This 1448-nucleotide ribosomal RNA is filed under the name uncultured Alphaproteobacteria bacterium. Its description in RNAcentral is "bacterial SSU rRNA". It matches the Rfam family "Bacterial small subunit ribosomal RNA". Lineage: Bacteria; Pseudomonadati; Pseudomonadota; Alphaproteobacteria. The record is from RNAcentral.
AGAGUUUGAUCCUGGCUCAGAACGAACGCUGGCGGCAGGCUUAACACAUGCAAGUCGAACGAUCCCUUCGGGGAUAGUGGCAGACGGGUGAGUAACGCGUGGGAACCUACCUGGUAGUAUGGAAUAACACAGAGAAAUUUGUGCUAAUACCGUAUACGCCCUUUUGGGGAAAGAUUUAUCGCUAUCAGAUGGGCCCGCGUUGGAUUAGCUAGUUGGUGGGGUAAUGGCCUACCAAGGCGACGAUCUAUAGCUGGUCUGAGAGGAUGAUCAGCCACACUGGGACUGAGACACGGCCCAGACUCCUACGGGAGGCAGCAGUGGGGAAUAUUGGACAAUGGGGGCAACCCUGAUCCAGCCAUGCCGCGUGAGUGAUGAAGGCCCUAGGGUUGUAAAGCUCUUUCAACGGUGAAGAUAAUGACGGUAACCGUAGAAGAAGCCCCGGCUAACUUCGUGCCAGCAGCCGCGGUAAUACGAAGGGGGCUAGCGUUGUUCGGAAAUUACUGGGCCGUAAAGCGUACGUAGGCGGACUGAUCAGUCAGGGGUGAAAUCCCGGGGCUCCACCCCCGGAACUGCCUUUGAUACUGUCCAGUCUUGAGUUCGAGAGAGGUGAGUGGAAUUCCGAGUGUAAAGGUGAAAUUCCUAAAAUUCCGAGGAACCCAGUGGCCAAAGGCGGGCUCAUUGGCUCCGAUACUGACCCUGAGUACAAAGCGUGGGGAGCAAACAGGAUUAGAUAACCUGGUAGUCCACGCCGUAAACGAUGAAUUUUAGCCGUCGGGCAGUAUAUGUUGGUGGGGCAGCUAACGCAUUAACAUUCCGCCUGGGGAGUACGGUGGCAAGAUUAAAAUCAAAGGAAUUGACGGGGGCCCGCACAAGCGGUGGAGCAUGUGGUUUAAUUGAAGCAACGCGCAGAACCUUACCAGCCCUUGACAUACCGGUUGCGGUUAGUGGAGACACUAUCCUUCAGUUCGGCUGGACCGGAUACAGGUGCUGCAUGGCUGUCGUCAGCUCGUGUCGUGAGAUGUUGGGUUAAGUCCCGCAACGAGCGCAACCCUCGCCCUUAGUUGCCAGCAUUUAGUUGGGCACUCUAGGGGGACUGCCGGUGAUAAGCCGGAGGAAGGUGGGGAUGACGUCAAGUCCUCAUGGCCCUUACGGGCUGGGCUACACACGUGCUACAAUGGUGGUGACAGUGGGCAGCGAGAUCGCAAGGUCGAGCUAAUCUCCAAAAGCCAUCUCAGUUCGGAUUGGGGUCUGCAACUCGACCCCAUGAAGUUGGAAUCGCUAGUAAUCGCGGAUCAGCAUGCCGCGGUGAAUACGUUCCCGGGCCUUGUACACACCGCCCGUCACACCAUGGGAGUUGGUCUUACCCGAAGGCGAUGCGCUAACCGUAAGGGGGCAGUCGACCACGGUAGGGUCAGCGACUGGGGUGAAGUCGUAACAAGGUAGCCGUA